RNAcentral lists this transfer RNA (76 nucleotides) under Candidatus Woesebacteria bacterium. RNAcentral's name for it is "tRNA-His". It matches the Rfam family "tRNA". Rfam says of the family: Transfer RNA (tRNA) molecules are approximately 80 nucleotides in length. Their secondary structure includes four short double-helical elements and three loops (D, anti-codon, and T loops). Further hydrogen bonds mediate the characteristic L-shaped molecular structure. tRNAs have two regions of fundamental functional importance: the anti-codon, which is responsible for specific mRNA codon recognition, and the 3' end, to which the tRNAs corresponding amino acid is attached (by aminoacyl-tRNA synthetases). tRNAs cope with the degeneracy of the genetic code in two manners: having more than one tRNA (with a specific anti-codon) for a particular amino acid; and 'wobble' base-pairing, i.e. permitting non-standard base-pairing at the 3rd anti-codon position. Lineage: Bacteria; Candidatus Woeseibacteriota. The record is from RNAcentral.
GGUGCCUGUAGCUCAGUUGGUUAGAGCGCGUCCCUGUGGAGGACGAGGUCGCGGGUUCGAGCCCCGUCUGGCACCC